This 501-nucleotide ribosomal RNA is filed under the name uncultured bacterium. Its description in RNAcentral is "bacterial SSU rRNA". It matches the Rfam family "Bacterial small subunit ribosomal RNA", at positions 37 to 524 of the family's 1533-position model. The record is from RNAcentral.
AUACAUGGCGGCAGGCUUACCAAUGCAGUCUCACGGUAGCAGGAGGAAGCUUGCUUUCUUGCUGACGAGUGGCGGACGGGUGAGUAAUGCUUGGGAAUCUGGCUUAUGGAGGGGGAUAACUACUGGAAACGGUAGCUAAUACCGCGUAAUAUCGGAAGAUUAAAGGGUGGGACCUUCGGGCCACUUGCCAUAAGAUGAGCCCAAGUGGGAUUAGGUAGUUGGUGGGGUAAAGGCCUACCAAGCCGACGAUCUCUAGCUGGUCUGAGAGGAUGGCCAGCCACACUGGAACUGAGACACGGUCCAGACUCCUACAGGAGGCAGCAGUGGGGAAUAUUGCACAAUGGGGGGAACCCUGAUGCAGCCAUGCCGCGUGAAUGAAGAAGGCCUUCGGGUUGUAAAGUUCUUUCGGUGAUGAGGAAGGCAGGUAUUUUAAUAGAAUGCUUGAUUGACGUUAGUCACAGAAGAAGCACCGGCUAACUCCGUGCCAGCAGCCGCGGUAAU